RNAcentral lists this transfer RNA (72 nucleotides) under Tursiops truncatus (common bottlenose dolphin). Its description in RNAcentral is "tRNA-Sup (TTA) (tRNA-Sup-TTA-5-1)". It matches the Rfam family "tRNA". From Rfam's summary of the family: Transfer RNA (tRNA) molecules are approximately 80 nucleotides in length. Their secondary structure includes four short double-helical elements and three loops (D, anti-codon, and T loops). The record is from Rfam by way of RNAcentral. Lineage: Eukaryota; Metazoa; Chordata; Mammalia; Artiodactyla; Delphinidae. RNAcentral also lists the same sequence under 1 other name.
UCCCUGGUGGUCCAGUGGUUAAGGCUUGGCACUUUAUCUGCUGAGGCCCAGGUUCGAUCCCUGGUCAGGGAA